RNAcentral lists this ribosomal RNA (371 nucleotides) under uncultured organism. RNAcentral's name for it is "partial 16S ribosomal RNA". It matches the Rfam family "Bacterial small subunit ribosomal RNA", at positions 527 to 896 of the family's 1533-position model. The record is from RNAcentral.
GUAGGUGGCAAGCGUUGUCCGGAAUUAUUGGGCGUAAAGCGCGCGCAGGCGGUUUUUUAAGUCUGAUGUGAAAGCCCACGGCUCAACCGUGGAGGGUCAUUGGAAACUGGAGAACUUGAGUACAGAAGAGGAAAGCGGAAUUCCACGUGUAGCGGUGAAAUGCGUAGAGAUGUGGAGGAACACCAGUGGCGAAGGCGGCUUUCUGGUCUGUGACUGACGCUGAGGCGCGAAAGCGUGGGGAGCAAACAGGGAUUAGAUACCCUGGUAGUCCACGCCGUAAACGAUGAGUGCUAAGUGUUAGGGGGUUUCCGCCCCCUUAGUGCUGCAGCUAACGCAUUAAGCACUCCGCCUGGAGUACGGCCGCAAGGCUG